UAGGGAAUCUUCCACAAUGGGCGAAAGCCUGAUGGAGCAACGCCGCGUGAGUGAUGAAGGCCUUCGGGUUGUAAAACUCUGUCAUUCGGGACGAACCGGAGUCUGAGGAAAUGCAGACUCUCUGACGGUACCGGAGGCGGAAGCCCCGGCUAACUACGUGCCAGCAGCCGCGGUAAUACGUAGGGGGCAAGCGUUGUCCGGAUUCACUGGGCGUAAAGCGCGCGCAGGCGGUGAUGUAAGUCUGAGGUGAAAACCCGAAGCUCAACUUCGGGACUGCCUUGGAUACUGCGUCACUUGAGGAUAGGAGAGGCAAGGGGAAUUCCACGUGUAGCGGUGAAAUGCGUAGAGAUGUGGAGGAACACCUGUGGCGAAGGCGCCUUGCUGGCCUAUUUCUGACGCUGAGGCGCGAAAGCGUGGGGAGCAAACAGG
This 429-nucleotide ribosomal RNA is filed under the name Actinomycetes bacterium. Its description in RNAcentral is "Actinobacteria bacterium partial 16S ribosomal RNA". It matches the Rfam family "Bacterial small subunit ribosomal RNA", at positions 355 to 776 of the family's 1533-position model. The record is from RNAcentral. Lineage: Bacteria; Bacillati; Actinomycetota; Actinomycetes.